RNAcentral lists this ribosomal RNA (429 nucleotides) under Actinomycetes bacterium. RNAcentral describes it as "Actinobacteria bacterium partial 16S ribosomal RNA". It matches the Rfam family "Bacterial small subunit ribosomal RNA", at positions 355 to 776 of the family's 1533-position model. The record is from RNAcentral. Lineage: Bacteria; Bacillati; Actinomycetota; Actinomycetes.
UAGGGAAUCUUCCGCAAUGGGCGAAAGCCUGACGGAGCAACGCCGCGUGAGUGAUGAAGGUCUUCGGAUCGUAAAACUCUGUUAUUAGGGAAGAACAAAUGUGUAAGUAACUAUGCACGUCUUGACGGUACCUAAUCAGAAAGCCACGGCUAACUACGUGCCAGCAGCCGCGGUAAUACGUAGGUGGCAAGCGUUAUCCGGAAUUAUUGGGCGUAAAGCGCGCGUAGGCGGUUUUUUAAGUCUGAUGUGAAAGCCCACGGCUCAACCGUGGAGGGUCAUUAGAAGCUAGAAAACUUGAGUGCAGAAGAGGAAAGUGGAAUUCCAUGUGUAGCGGUGAAAUACGCAGAGAUAUGGAGGAACACCAGUGGCGAAGGCGACUUUCUGGUCUGUAACUGACGCUGAUGUGCGAAAGCGUGGGGAUCAAACAGG